GCAGGAUGACUGCCCUAUGGGUUGUAAACUGCUUUUGUCAGGGAAUAAACCUUUCUACGUGUAGGAAGCUGAAUGUACCUGAAGAAUAAGGAUCGGCUAACUCCGUGCCAGCAGCCGCGGUAAUACGGAGGAUCCAAGCGUUAUCCGGAUUUAUUGGGUUUAAAGGGUGCGUAGGCGGUCCUAUAAGUCAGUGGUGAAAGACGGCAGCUUAACUGUCGCAGUGCCUUUGAUACUGUAGGACUUGAAUCUAUUUGAAGUGGGCGGAAUAAGACAAGUAGCGGUGAAAUGCAUAGAUAUGUCUUAGAACUCCGAUUGCGAAGGCAGCUCACUAAGUUAGUAUUGACGCUGAUGCACGAAAGCGUGGGGAUCAAACAGGAUUAGAUACCCUGGUAGUCCACGCCCUAAACGAUGAUAACUCGAUGUUUGCGAUACACAGUAAGCGUCCAAGCGAAAGCGUUA
RNAcentral lists this ribosomal RNA (459 nucleotides) under Sphingobacterium sp. Its description in RNAcentral is "bacterial SSU rRNA". It matches the Rfam family "Bacterial small subunit ribosomal RNA", at positions 401 to 862 of the family's 1533-position model. The record is from RNAcentral. Lineage: Bacteria; Pseudomonadati; Bacteroidota; Sphingobacteriia; Sphingobacteriales; Sphingobacteriaceae.